This 75-nucleotide transfer RNA is filed under the name Camelus bactrianus (Bactrian camel). It matches the Rfam family "tRNA". From Rfam's summary of the family: Transfer RNA (tRNA) molecules are approximately 80 nucleotides in length. Their secondary structure includes four short double-helical elements and three loops (D, anti-codon, and T loops). The record is from Rfam by way of RNAcentral. RNAcentral also lists the same sequence under 2 other names. Lineage: Eukaryota; Metazoa; Chordata; Mammalia; Artiodactyla; Camelidae.
GAGGGUAUAGCUCAAAGUGGUAGAGCACAUGCUUAGCAUGCAUGAGGUCCUUGGGUUCAAUCCCCAGUACCUCUA